GUGCUCGCUGCGGCAGCGCGCACGCUAACGCUGCGACAAUGCAGAGAAGAUUAGUGUGGCCCUGUGCAGGGAUGACACGCAAAUUUGUGAAGCGUUCUGUAUUUUU
This is a small nuclear RNA of Artibeus jamaicensis (Jamaican fruit-eating bat), 106 nucleotides long. NCBI's taxonomy places the organism in Eukaryota, Metazoa, Chordata, Mammalia, Chiroptera, Phyllostomidae. The record is from RefSeq and is a predicted model, not a curated record.